This 475-nucleotide ribosomal RNA is filed under the name uncultured bacterium. RNAcentral's name for it is "bacterial SSU rRNA". It matches the Rfam family "Bacterial small subunit ribosomal RNA", at positions 27 to 518 of the family's 1533-position model. The record is from RNAcentral.
GGACGAACGCUGGCGGCAUGCCUAACACAUGCAAGUCGAACGGAGUAAUGACUUCGGUUAUUACUUAGUGGCGAACGGGUGAGUAACACGUGAAUAAUCUGCCCUGUACGAUGGGAUAACAGCUGGAAACGGCUGCUAAUACCGUAUAUGACCACGCCGAGGCAUCUCGGAGGGGUGAAAGCGCUUAAGCGGUACAGGAUGAGUUCGCGUCCAAUUAGCUAGUUGGUGAGGUAACGGCCCACCAAGGCGACGAUUGGUAGCCGACCUGAGAGGGUGACCGGCCACAUUGGGACUGAGACACGGCCCAAACUCCUACGGGAGGCAGCAGUGGGGAAUAUUGCACAAUGGGGGAAACCCUGAUGCAGCGACGCCCGCGUGAGUGAAGAAGUAUUUCGGUAUGUAAAGCUCUAUCAGCAGGGAAGAAGAUGACGGUACCUGCACAAGAAGCCCCGGCUAACUACGUGCCAGCAGCUGC